GAGCCGUAUGCGGUGAGAGUCGCACGUACGGUAAGGAGGGGGGAGCUAUUUCCCUUGGCACCUUAGAGUCCUCAGACGAUGAACAGAGCACUAGAUGCCCUAAUCUACUCCUAU
Triticum urartu is the source of this 114-nucleotide non-coding RNA. NCBI's taxonomy places the organism in Eukaryota, Viridiplantae, Streptophyta, Magnoliopsida, Poales, Poaceae. The record is from Rfam.